UGGGGAAUAUUGCACAAUGGGGGAAACCCUGAUGCAGCGACGCCGCGUGAGUGAUGAAGUAUUUCGGUAUGUAAAGCUCUAUCAGCAGGGAAGAUAAUGACGGUACCUGACUAAGAAGCCCCGGCUAACUACGUGCCAGCAGCCGCGGUAAUA
Molecule: ribosomal RNA, 153 nt
Filed under: uncultured Bacillota bacterium
Lineage: Bacteria; Bacillati; Bacillota
Description: uncultured Firmicutes bacterium partial 16S ribosomal RNA
Rfam family: Bacterial small subunit ribosomal RNA
Source: RNAcentral